Molecule: long non-coding RNA, 1165 nt
Organism: Cucumis melo (muskmelon)
Lineage: Eukaryota; Viridiplantae; Streptophyta; Magnoliopsida; Cucurbitales; Cucurbitaceae
Exons: 5
Source: RefSeq, a predicted model, not a curated record
UCUUGCGAUUAAGGGUGUGACCACCUAAACAUUCUACUUGUAUCUCUCCGCGAGAUAACACAUAGAAUACUUAGUAAAUGAGUUUGAUGAACAUCAAAAUUUACACAAAAUGGUUUAUUUACAAAACACAAGGAUUUCUUUGAUAGUGAAUCAAAAGUACAUCAAACAUAAUGGCCACUACUAAGUGAUGCGUUCAAAAGGACACGUCGGGCAAUCAAGGUGACAAGUUUGAUGUGGGAUGUCCUUCACUACCUGGGGAGGGAGAGGUAAAACAAAACAUUUGGAAGGUUAAACGAAGAACGUCUACUAUGCAUAGAGGUCUCAACGCAAUUAGCAAGUUUCCAUCAAUUUUAGUUCGCAUAAUGCGUUUUCCAAUGCAAGAACACAUAACAGGCAACGAACAUCCCAUACAGAUCACACAGCAAGCAUAGGGCAUUCUACUCUAGAACACACAACAAGAAUAGAGCAUCUUAUCUCAGGUCACACAGUAAGAAUAGAGUAUCUUAUCUCAAGUCACACAGCAAGGAUAAAGCAUCCCACACUAGAUCACAUAGCAAGUGUGAGGCUCCUCAUGCAUAGGAAAUGAUGACUCCUGACCGGCGGCGAGGGUGGUCCAUUCGCAAGGUGCCACGUGUUUCUGCCAAAUCCUUAUCCUGGAUUCCAAUUGAGUAACAAGGUCAAAUCAAUUGUCGACCUACUAACGUAAGGGCGCAAUGCCACCAUCUUCUGGUGAAGCAUCACACUUCCCAAUAAAGGCCCCUUGUUUAUCGUGUAGAUUGCCUCCGCCAAAUAGGAUCUUGCCGUGCAAAAGGUUAAGCAAUUGAUGUGUAGAAUAUCUACAAGGAGAGUUGUUUAAAGCAAUUGAUGUUUAAAGCAUAAGACCAUUGAAGGAGUAGGGUAGAGCGUAAGGCCAUUGAAGGAUCAGGAGGAUAAAGCGUAAGACCAUUAAUGGGCUAGGAGGGUUGAGCGUAAGACCAUUGAAGGAUCAGGAGGGUGGAGCAUAAGACCAUUGAAGGAUCAGGAAGGUGUAACGUAAGUCCAUUGCAUCAUCAAGAGGGUGGAGCGUUAGACCAUUGGAGGAUCUAGAGGGUGGAGCGUAAAUCUGUAACAAAAAGGCAACAAAUGAGGAGAACAUAAGUUGGAAAUAAGAGAGAAAAAUUGCAUG